Molecule: long non-coding RNA, 3107 nt
Filed under: Theobroma cacao (cacao)
Lineage: Eukaryota; Viridiplantae; Streptophyta; Magnoliopsida; Malvales; Malvaceae
Description: long non-coding RNA (TCAC_LNC005975)
Source: RNAcentral
GCCAAACCAAGAGCAAAGGAAGAACAAAGGGAGAAAAGAAAAACAAGAACCCUAGGUGGGAAAAUUCAAGGAAAAAAUUGGUGGAUUUUAAGUAAUCAAGCAAUCAAAGGUAAAAUUUCUUGAUUUUGACUUGUGAUCUACCUUUCCCAUGCAUUUCUCCUUAUUUUCCAUGGUUAAAUUACAUGUUUUCAUGAUGAAUUCAUGGCUGGUCAAAAUGGGUAUGGAGAGAGAAAGAUGUUGGAUUGAUUUGAUUUUAAGAUAUGUUAGUGUUUUUAGUUAGUUUAGCAUAUUUAGAAGCAAAACAACAAGAAAAAAAUCCAUUUUCCCCAUGAAUCUUCAUUGGCCGAAUCUUCCUUGAUGUGUGUGGGUGAUGGAUUGUUAUUAUUUCAAGAGAAAUGGCUUAGAAAAUGAUGAAUAAUGGUGAGAAAAUUAAUUAGAAAAAAUCACGGUGUUAGUGCACUGUAAUGGCCGAAUUUUUCCAUGAAGAAAUGGGAGGGUUUUGAUGCUGAAAGUGGUGUUAUUUGAAUAACGUUUGGUGAAUUGAGGUAUUAGAAAAGAAAUGGAGUAAUUUGGGAUUAAAUUGGACGUGUUAGUAAUUUAAUCGGGUGAUAAGACGAAUUAGGCCAAUGCCGAGUUUAGAUAGUUACCAGUGUAUUUUUGCAUUCCCUAUCAUGCAUUAGUACUUUAAAUUAGUUUAAUUUCAAUUUAGUACCAGUGUAGUAAGUUCCUCGAUUUUGUACUGUGUCAAGGUGGUGAGUCCUCCCACAAGGGCAAGGAAAUUGUACUUGAUGAUCGAUAAUCGGAGUACUUUAGAAAUUCGACUUCCGAAAUAGUGAGUAACCUUAUCAACAUUUUAAUUAUCUAAAGUAUGUUUUGAUUCAAUUUUGGUGAAUUUUAUGAAAAUGAGUUCAAAUGGUAAAUUUUAGGUUUUAUAAACAAAAAUGAGUUUAAAUGAAAAUAUUUUAUAAAUUGUCUUGAAACGAAAUAACGAUUUUGAAAAUAGAGUAACUGGAAACCACUGGUAUGUUGUAAAUUUUAUGAUUGGAAAUUGAUGGCUUAUGUUAUAUUGUUAUUGUGCUGGCAUGACUGGUUGGGAUAUGUUUUAUGAAUUGUAUGAAUUAUUUUAUUUUACGCUUGCAGGUUGGGUAGUAAAAUAUUAGCUCUGUCAUGCAGUCAAAAUUUUAUUAUAUGGUGGGUUUAGCUUGCUGCAGUAGGCGGGUUUACGUGGACUAGCCCAUUAGCAGGGCACGAUAAACCCCGUUAUAUUUUACAUCAGUUGGAGACGCGAGUAGGGUAACUCCUGAGGUAUAACUUUUAGAGUUCACUUCACGCCAAACCACCACGUGAGGGGGAACUCGGCCAAUGCCAAGGAACAGCUAUAUUUUUAAAAUAAAAACAUGUUUAUGCGUACGUAACUUUUUAAUAGCCUUGGCGGACUCAGUUGGGAUAGCCCUCGGCCAAGGUAUCCUAGAUAACUGAGUAUGAUAAUAAUUUUUGGCAUGAGCCAAGCUUUUAGGAAAUUCAUAAGCCAUACUGAUUACUUUAUUUGAAUAAAUUGAUUUCAUUUGGUUGAAAUAAGUUGAAAGGUGAUAAAUUACAGUUUGAUGAAAUGGUUUAAUAGUUUCCUUUUACUUGCCUUUAGAUAUUUUAAAUGAUAUUUGUUUACUCACUUGGAUUUUAUAAUUUCACCACCCUUCUUUCCACCCUUUUCAGGCUCAGGAUAGUCGGUAGAUAGCUCAUUUCAUCGAGGAUUACAAUUGGACUGGCAUCCUCAAAAUAUGUAGGUUUAUCUCUCUAGAUACCUUUGGUCGUUCGUGGGCCCAUGUGUCACUGUAAAUUUAAUUUUAUACUUUGGUUAUCUGUAUUACAAUAUAUAUGAAUUUAUUUUGCUUUUUUGCUGUAAAAAUUAACUUGCAGUGUUCUAAAAAUAUUGUUUUAUGAGAAAAUUGAAUAUUUUAUUCUAUAUCUUUAUUAUAUUCAAAUAGUUAUAAUUUCAUUUUAAAUGAAAGUUUUAGACGUUUAAUUUUAUUUUUUAUUAUGAAUUAUGUGUUUUAUACUUACAUACUACAUUUUUAACUAGUUUCGAAACUUUUGAGGAAAAAUGACCAAAAUGCCCCUGUGAGAAAAAAAUCAUUUUUUUCGUGAUUUCAGUUAGAAAUAGCUUAAAUUCUUUUAGAACAUGAUAUUUGGUAACGGUUCCUCACUGAGGAAAAGAGAAAUUGAUAUUAAAGCCUUGCGGGGGUCCGAUUGAUAUUUUGGGUAAUGAGUGUCGAUCGGGACAACGAGACGGUUGUCACUGGCUCGAGGGGAUUACUGGGUCGUGACAAUUAGAGUGGUAUCAGAGCUUUUGGUUUUAAAGAUCAAAGCCUUUGGUUUUAAAGAUCAGAGUACAAAGCUUUUUGUUUUAAAGUUGUUUUAAAAACUACAGUGUCAGUGUGGCCCAAGUUAAGUUAAAUCAGGUUAGGUAGAAUAGAAUACGUGCAUUUGUAUAUAGAAUUUGGAGUUGGUUAGACUCAUUCUGUUUCUUCUUAUAGAUCUUAUGGGAGCUAUAGGAACUUCUGUUUCCAGUAAUCCACUUUCUUGUUAAUGUCAUGUAAAGAUUAUAAGUAGGGCCGUUGUCCGGGUUUAAGAUGCCACUUGUGACAUGAGCCAGUGUUGGAGAGAUCUUAAAACGAAUGCUGCUAAUGAAAGAUUAAUGAAAUGAUAUAUCCCUCAGAUUAUGGAUGGAGAAAUUUGGAGUUGGACUAGUAGGCCAUGAUAAUUUAUUCAUUUGGUGGAGUUAUAAGUGAACUCAUGGUUGUCAAUUGGAAAAAGAUUUGGGGACUAUGGAUUGUAUUGGGGUUAAUAUAAAAGAGCACGUGUGAUAAUGGUAAUAAGGGGCACAAUUUGGAUAGAAUGAAUAGUGAUGAUUGUAAUUCACUUGGAGUGUAUAAAUUAAGCAUUGAGGUAAGAGUAAAUUCAUACUUAUGUGCAUGAAGAUAAGAACACUAUGUUAAUUAAGCAUGUUAUGCCCAUAUAAAAGUGGUGUUGAGAUUUUGAAAUAUUUUAUAUGUUAAUAUGUUUGGAAUAGGUAUAGCAGCUUAGAGGGAACUGGUGUUGAUUUCAAU